Molecule: long non-coding RNA, 2705 nt
Filed under: Coffea arabica (coffee)
Lineage: Eukaryota; Viridiplantae; Streptophyta; Magnoliopsida; Gentianales; Rubiaceae
Description: long non-coding RNA (CARA_LNC006021)
Source: RNAcentral
AAAAUUAAGCAACUAAGGAACACUUCACUGAAUAAAGUGGAGAAUACUUCACUGAACAAUCAAUUUUAAAAGGAUAUGGUGCUCGCAUUAGAAUCACUUCAAUGCACUACCCACUCCGCCAAACUCCUCCUUAUAACUUCCAAAACAGUAAACACUUCCCUCACUUAGAUGGCCAUAACAAUAUCAGUAAUUUGCUACUCCGGGGAAUACUCGAGCAUACCGAAACACUUACCCAAAGUUACGGUCCUACCCGACCAAGCCCUUUUGCCGGCUCGAAUAGUCCGUUGAACAGAGGGUUUUGGGGCCCAGUCCAGCCGCUGUGGUAAAAUACACACACGGCUUACAGUCAUGCACACUUACAAUAACACUUGAUCAAUUAUCAACCUUCAAGCUCAAACUAAGUCGAAUGCAAUAAAGUAUACUCCCGACUUAGAAGACGAGGGACAAUUGAGAUACACUUUAUAAUGAAUCACUAACAAUAUUCCAUAAUAAGCACAUUUAUCAUAUAAUUUCACUUAACUAAACACAAACAGUUUAAAACACAAAUUCGGAAACACUCACCAAAUUUCAAAUAAAUUACUCUCGAGCCUUGAGUUUGCUUUCUGGUUCACAGCUACCCCCUGAGAUAAAUUUAUAACUCUAAAAUGAAGAUACAAUUUGUAGAUAAUCACUUAUCAUUUGUUACCUUAUAAUUUAAACUUAUUAAAGUCAAGUUUUGGCUUUAAAAUACAAGAUAUAAUAUAUCUAACCUUUUCUUAAAUUUUAUCUCGAAACUUAUCAACUUUAUUAUUUUAAACAAAGAAAUAUACAUAUUUUUCAAGUUUAUAAUUUAUAAAAUAUUUAAAUUAGGAUUAAACCAUUUUCCAUCCAAGAUUCUAAUAUUAAAGCUUAGGAACACUCCAUUGGUUCCAUUUUAACUAAUUAACUUUAAGCCAUUUGUAACUUAGAUUUUAUUUCUCUACACUAGUCCUUCAAGUCUUAAAAUCUUUAAAAUGAUGGUGAGGACAAGAUUAGUUGAUUUGAAGCCAUGUUAUGUAUAUAACUAUAACCAGUUACUUUAGGGUUUCCAAAAAUGUCAUAGAAAGGUUUGCUAGCUACCGUUUUAGUCAAUAUCUAAGUUUCAGCAAUAUACUUCCUAAAUUCUGUUAAUAUUUCAUCUUUUACUUAGCUAAAUCAUUAAAUACUUGAUAUUCAUUCUGUGCCUGCCUAAACUAGAUCAAACAACAUGUACCCUCAACACAUAAUUCCAGCAAAAACAACAAUAAAUUCAGUCCUCAGCUAAAUGCAAAUUCCCAGUAGCUAGGCAGUCAAUUACAAGACUGUUUCCCCCCAUCUUCUUUACUUUCCUCCUCCUAACUCGACAUGCUGGGAGUAAUUAUCCAACUACAGAGCAUCGUAAGCAAGAAUAUAUGUUGACAGCCAAAAAUGAAAGAACAAAGCUGAACCGAGUCUUAAACUCCCUCUCGGCUAGAGUGAAAAGAAACUCUUGCAGCAGAUUGAGCUCAUUCUUCCUUCAAUGUUCACUUUAGUUUCAAUUCAUUUCUAUCUUACUUGUUGAAGUUAAGAGACUUAUGACAUGCUACAGUUCUAUACGUUUGUCUAGAGAUUAAAAUUUGCGAAGGAUAACCAGAGUUUCCUCUCUUCUCUUUCGGUUGCGGUCACUAAAUUUCCAGCAAAACAAUAGUUCAUCAUUUGACAUUUUCUCACCUUUUCUUUCUCAGGUUUUGGUCUCAAUCACUCAUGCAGAGGAUACUUAAUUUGUUGCAGGUUAUCCUAAGCUAGACAGGGUAGUUCUUGACCAAAAUUUCUGAGGAAAACUGAAUAAAAUUACAAGUCUGCACAAGCCUGCUACAUCUAGUGCAUAGCAGACUGCACCAGGUUACUUUCAUGCCCACAGUUCCAAUUCUUACAACUCCUACGGUUAAUCCUUCUUUUAUUACUUAAAGUGGACAUAAUCAUGCUUUCCUAGCUGUAGUUUCCAUUUUCUAAUAACUAGCCACAUAAUUAGCACUUAUCUCUGGGUUAGAAGUCAGAACUUCCUCUUAGCGGACAGUUGAUUCUAAACAAAAUUUCUCCGGCAACAGCACUUAGUUUUUCUUGGCUAGAUUCCAGCACCCACAACAUGCAAAUUCAAAUAUACCAGAUGAUUAAGAGGUUAUAUACAAAUUUCCAUCAUUCAUGGAUUAAAAUCCAAGCAACAGUUUUCAGUUUCUUCCAAAUCUGUCCAACAGCUUGAUUUCCUUCAAACAAGAUUUCACCUUGUCUAAGAGUCCAUUUCUUUACUAAGUUCUCGUGCAACUAAUGUGAUUUUUCAGUUACACCGAAUAAAUAGAAAAUAGGUGCAGGUUCUUACCCUUUUCUCCUAAGAAUUCGAUGUUGCAGGCUGCUAAAAUUUCUGAUUCUGGUUCCUCACUCUUAGCUCUAGUUUCCUUUACCUUCUGACAGUAUUCUCUCGUCUUUGUUUGGCUGGUGAUACAGCUUGCUAAUCCUUUUUUCCUCACACUCAAUUUUUCACCCUCGAUCCUGUUUUUGUAAGAUGCAAGAAAGAAAGAAAGAAAAGAAGUCUGUCUUCUUCACUCCUUUGAUCACCGCCCAAAUAAUGAGCCUACUGUCUAGUUACUUCCUCUUGGUUGUUUUGUAGAGUUUUAAUGUAAGAAAGACAACAAUGCUACCUAAAUCCUCUUGCUUUCGGUUACUCCAGCCUC